Molecule: ribosomal RNA, 904 nt
Filed under: insect metagenome
Description: bacterial SSU rRNA
Rfam family: Bacterial small subunit ribosomal RNA
Source: RNAcentral
CGAGGGGCAACAUGAAGUAGCAAUACUUUGAUGGCGACCGGCGCACGGGUGAGUAACGCGUGAGUAACCUGCCUUACACAAGGGGAUAGCCUUUGGAAACGAAGAAUAAUACCCUAUAAAACCAUAAAAGCACAUGCUAGAAUGGUCAAAGUGAUAGCGGUGUAAGAUGGACUUGCGUCUGAUUAGCUAGUUGGUGAGAUAAAAGCUCACCAAGGCAACGAUCAGUAGCCGGCUUGAGAGAGUGUACGGCCACAUUGGGACUGAGACACGGCCCAGACUCCUACGGGAGGCAGCAGUGGGGAAUUUUGCACAAUGGGGGAAACCCUGAUGCAGCGACGCCGCGUGAUUUAGAAGGCCUUCGGGUUGUAAAAAUCUUUUGUAUAGGAAGAAAAUGACAGUACUAUACGAAUAAGGUCCGGCUAAUUACGUGCCAGCAGCCGCGGUAAUACGUAAGGACCGAGCGUUGUCCGGAAUCAUUGGGCGUAAAGGGUACGUAGGCGGCUAGAAAAGUUAGAAGUCAAAGGCUAUAGCUCAACUAUAGUNANCNUCUAGCGACCUCNACUAUUUAGCUUGAGAAAUGGAAGGGAAAGUGGAAUUCCUAGUGUAGCGGUGGAAUGCGCAGAUAUUAGGAAGAAUACCGGUGGCGAAGGCGACUUUCUGGCCAUUAUCUGACGCUGAGGUACGAAAGCGUGGGUAGCAAACAGGAUUAGAUACCCUGGUAGUCCACGCCGUAAACGAUGAGUGUUAGGUGUCUGGAGUCAAAUCUGGGUGCCGCAGCAAACGCAUUAAACACUCCGCCUGGGGAGUACGCACGCAAGUGUGAAACUCAAAGGAAUUGACGGGGACCCGCACAAGCAGCGGAGCAUGUGGUUUAAUUCGAUGCAAGUGGAGGUCGCUAGAUGGU